UGGGGAAUUUUGGACAAUGGGCGAAAGCCUGAUCCAGCAAUGCCGCGUGUGUGAAGAAGGCCUUCGGGUUGUAAAGCACUUUUGUCCGGAAAGAAAUCCUUGGCUCUAAUACAGUCGGGGGAUGACGGUACCGGAAGAAUAAGCACCGGCUAACUACGUGCCAGCAGCCGCGGUAAUACGUAGGGUGCAAGCGUUAAUCGGAAUUACUGGGCGUAAAGCGUGCGCAGGCGGUUUGCUAAGACCGAUGUGAAAUCCCCGGGCUCAACCUGGGAACUGCAUUGGUGACUGGGCAGGCUAGAGUAUGGCAGAGGGGGGUAGAAUUCCACGUGUAGCAGUGAAAUGCGUAGAGAUGUGGAGGAAUACGAUGGCGAAGGCAGCCCCCUGGGCCAAUACUGACGCUCAUGCACGAAAGCGUGGGGAGCAAACAGGAUUAGAUACCCUGGUAGU
This 447-nucleotide ribosomal RNA is filed under the name uncultured bacterium. RNAcentral describes it as "partial 16S ribosomal RNA". It matches the Rfam family "Bacterial small subunit ribosomal RNA", at positions 355 to 794 of the family's 1533-position model. The record is from RNAcentral.